GUGGAUUAGAUACCCUGGUAGUCCACACUGUAAACGAUGGAUACUAGGUGUAGGAGAUGAUUUCAUCAUCUGUGCCGAAAGCAAACGCAAUAAGUAUCCCACCUGGGGAGUACGGCCGCAAGGUUGAAACUCAAAGGAAUUGACGGGGGCCCGCACAAGCAGUGGAGUAUGUGGUUUAAUUCGAAGCAACGCGAAGAACCUUACCAGGGCUUGACAUAUACAGGAAUAUUUAAGAGAUUAAAUAGCUCUUCGGAGUCUGUAUACAGGUGGUGCAUGGCCGUCGACAACU
RNAcentral lists this ribosomal RNA (289 nucleotides) under uncultured bacterium. RNAcentral's name for it is "partial 16S ribosomal RNA". It matches the Rfam family "Bacterial small subunit ribosomal RNA", at positions 773 to 1060 of the family's 1533-position model. The record is from RNAcentral.